AAUUUGAAAUCUGGCCCCUUCGGGGUCCGAGUUGUAAUUUGUAGAGAGCGCUUCGGGUGAAGUCGCGGUCUAAGUCCAUUGGAACAUGGCGUCGUAGAGGGUGAGAAUCCCGUAUGCGACCGCGGACCGAGCCCAUGUGAAGCCUCUUCGACGAGUCGAGUUGUUUGGGAAUGCAGCUCAAAAUGGGUGGUAUAUUUCAUCUAAAGCUAAAUAUUGGCUGGAGACCGAUAGCGCACAAGUAGAGUGAUCGAAAGAUGAAAAGCACUUUGGAAAGAGAGUCAAACAGUACGUGAAAUUGUUGAAAGGGAAGCGCUUGCAACCAGACCUGCCCGGGGGCGAUCAGCCGCUGUUCUCAGCGGUGCACUCGUUCCCCGAUCAGGCCAGCAUCGGUUUCGGCGGUCGGACAAAGGCCCCGGGAAUGUAGCUUCCCUCGGGGAGUCUUAUAGCCCGGGGUGCAAUGCGGCCAGCCGGGACCGAGGACCGCGCUUCGGCUAGGAUGCUGGCGUAAUGGUUGUCAGCGACCC
This 524-nucleotide ribosomal RNA is filed under the name Oropogon aff. sperlingii 6710. RNAcentral's name for it is "eukaryotic LSU rRNA". It matches the Rfam family "Eukaryotic large subunit ribosomal RNA", at positions 112 to 650 of the family's 3401-position model. Lineage: Eukaryota; Fungi; Ascomycota; Lecanoromycetes; Lecanorales; Parmeliaceae. The record is from RNAcentral.